UACGUAGGGUGCAAGCGUUAAUCGGAAUUACUGGGCGUAAAGCGUGCGCAGGCGGCUUUGCAAGACAGAUGUGAAAUCCCCGGGCUUAACCUGGGAACUGCAUUUGUGACUGCAUGGCUGGAGUGCGGCAGAGGGGGAGGGAAUUCCGCGUGUAGCAGUGAAAUGCGUAGAUAUGCGGAGGAACACCGAUGGCGAAGGCAAUCCCCUGGGCCUGCACUGACGCUCAUGCACGAAAGCGUGGGGAGCAAACAGG
This 253-nucleotide ribosomal RNA is filed under the name uncultured bacterium. RNAcentral describes it as "partial 16S ribosomal RNA". It matches the Rfam family "Bacterial small subunit ribosomal RNA", at positions 524 to 776 of the family's 1533-position model. The record is from RNAcentral.